GAAGGACUUAAAUAAGAUUUAUUGGUGGAAUGUAGGAAAAUUUAAUUCACAUAAGUUCACUAAUAUUUUAAUUAAAAGUGAAAUUUUAAACUAAACAGAAAAAACUAAGAGAAUUUUAUUUUAUCUACUCAAAUAAGAUAAUAAACUAGGAUUAGAUACCCUAUUAUUCUUAUCUAAUUUUGCCAGGGUAGUAAAAGUAAAUCUUCAAACCCAAAGAAUUUGACGGCAUCUCACUCUUUCCAGAGGAACCUGUCCCGUAAUCGACAGUCCACGCUAAACCUUACCCUCUUUUAUUUAGUUUGUAUACCUCCGUUGCCAGAUAAUUCUCAAAAGAAAUUAUCUAAAUUAACUAUUUUACUAACUUCAGGUCAAGGUGCAGCCUAUAAGAGGGUGGUGAUGGGUUACAUUAAUAAUAAAUUAAACGGAAAUUUAAUGAAAAAAUGAUUUAAGGUGGAUUUGGAAGUAAACUUACUUUAGUAAAGUAACUUGAAAAAAGCUCUGAGAUGUGUACACAUCGCCCGUCGCUCUUCCUAAUAAAGGG
RNAcentral lists this ribosomal RNA (541 nucleotides) under Limnadia lenticularis. RNAcentral's name for it is "partial 12S ribosomal RNA". Lineage: Eukaryota; Metazoa; Arthropoda; Branchiopoda; Diplostraca; Limnadiidae. The record is from RNAcentral.